This 376-nucleotide ribosomal RNA is filed under the name uncultured Alteromonadales bacterium. RNAcentral's name for it is "bacterial SSU rRNA". It matches the Rfam family "Bacterial small subunit ribosomal RNA", at positions 521 to 896 of the family's 1533-position model. Lineage: Bacteria; Pseudomonadati; Pseudomonadota; Gammaproteobacteria; Alteromonadales. The record is from RNAcentral.
UAAUACGGAGGGUGCAAGCGUUAAUCGGAAUUACUGGGCGUAAAGCGCAUGCAGGCGGUUUGUUAAGCGAGAUGUGAAAGCCCCGGGCUCAACCUGGGAACUGCAUUUCGAACUGGCAAACUAGAGUUCUUGAGAGGGUGGUAGAAUUUCAGGUGUAGCGGUGAAAUGCGUAGAGAUCUGAAGGAAUACCAGUGGCGAAGGCGGCCACCUGGCAAGUAACUGGCGCUCAGAUGCGAAAGCGUGGGUAGCAAACGGGAUUAGAUACCCCGGUAGUCCACGCCGUAAACGAUGUCUACUCGGAGUUUGGUUCCUUGAGAACUGGGCUCUUAAGCUAACGCAUUAAGUAGACCGCCUGGGGAGUACGGCCGCAAGGUUA